Molecule: transfer-messenger RNA, 361 nt
Filed under: Escherichia coli
Lineage: Bacteria; Pseudomonadati; Pseudomonadota; Gammaproteobacteria; Enterobacterales; Enterobacteriaceae
Rfam family: transfer-messenger RNA
About the family: Bacterial tmRNA, also known as 10Sa RNA or SsrA, is named for its dual tRNA and mRNA-like properties.
Source: RNAcentral
GGGCUGAUUCUGGAUUCGACGGGAUUUGCGAAACCCAAGGUGCAUGCCGAGGGGCGGUUGGCCUCGUAAAAAGCCGCAAAAAAUAGUCGCAAACGACGAAAACUACGCUUUAGCAGCUUAAUAACCUGCUUAGAGCCCUCUCUCCCUAGCCUCCGCUCUUAGGACGGGGAUCAAGAGAGGUCAAACCCAAAAGAGAUCGCGUGGAAGCCCUGCCUGGGGUUGAAGCGUUAAAACUUAAUCAGGCUAGUUUGUUAGUGGCGUGUCCGUCCGCAGCUGGCAAGCGAAUGUAAAGACUGACUAAGCAUGUAGUACCGAGGAUGUAGGAAUUUCGGACGCGGGUUCAACUCCCGCCAGCCCACCA